Gorilla gorilla gorilla (western lowland gorilla) is the source of this 1882-nucleotide long non-coding RNA. RefSeq lists it as uncharacterized. The record is from RefSeq and is a predicted model, not a curated record. Lineage: Eukaryota; Metazoa; Chordata; Mammalia; Primates; Hominidae. The transcript is spliced from 2 exons.
CCACCCCCAACAGAGCCUGAGAAUUAACAAUGGGUUUUGCAAAACCCGCUUUCAGAGGCCGAACUAACAGCCUGAGUGGAUAACGUCAUUUACUGUUACAGGUCUGAGCGUUGGCCUCAGAACUCCUCUGGUGCUGGGAGUGAGGAGUUUCAAGGUGACUGCUUUUUAGCUCCAGGGGAGAAAGGAGGGCACAGUGCCCAAGGCCAUGCCAGGGCAAGGACGGGGCCACUGGCCCCCGCCGGCUGGUAGAGUCAACCAGAGGCAAAGCCAGAUUGAGGGUUCCCAGGCUGACAAAUGUCUGCUGCCUCUGCCACAGGAGAGAGAAGGGGAAAGAGGGCAAAAGAAACAAAGACAUCAUGCAUUGCAAGUGGCUGGACUUUUAAAAACCUACCUUUGCCUCCAGGGUUUUCUAGGUUACUGUCACCCCACUUCCUAAAAAGUGUCUCCCCCCUCAUCCUAUUUAAGACCUGAUGCAGUCUCCCCACUGGUUCUCCCAGGGAAAGAAAAGGGGAAAUGUUUUGUUGAAAAUAAAAGGGGUGACAAGAAAGAAAGGAAAAAAAGCUAUUGUUUUCAUCCCUAAUUUAUAAUCCAAGAGGCCCCCAAUUGUUUCUUUCUUUCUGACUCAAAUCUUUGAGCUGUUAAUUAUAAAAGUAACUGGACUUGGCGCCAACGGGCUAACUAUGAUCAGGCUCAGCAAUUAGAAAAACUCUGUAGAAAGUUUACUGAGUGAUUAUAUAUAAUUAAUUCCUAGUUACAGACUGAACACUGACCAUUUUCUGGAGCUAAUAAAAGCAGUUACUCCCCCUCCCCCACGUGAAUGCCACUUAAUUUCCCAAAGCAGAAAGUGAAUCCAUCCUGGAGGGUCUUGAAGGAAAAAAAAGGAGAGGAAUCAAAAGCUUCAGUGUGUCUGUGUUUGCUCCUUGCUGCUGUGUAUCCUCUUUGGGGACUGAGGAGGCAGAAGGAAAAAGGAAAACAGCCCAACAUUCUGUUCCUCCUUCUGCAAUUUACAAACGUGGCAGAGAGAACAUUCUACCUUGAUGAGAAAAAGAAGGGGGGUUGGGGGGAAGCAGGGAAGGGAGAUGACCUAGGAAUGGAAGGUAGGAGACUCUUCUGCUUGGCAGAUCUGCUUUUCCUAAAAGGAACAAAGAUGGUAGAAAUUUCCAGAAGGCCCGUUCUUAGUUCGGCCACUGCAAUUGUCAAUCUUUAACCUUUCCUCCAAGUCUAUUGGUUUAAAAGCUAGAGUAGAAGAACCCCAUUGGGCUGCUCUGGGAGCCAGUACUGCCGUCCCUACCUAGUCCUGCUGCAAUGCAGACAUUUAUUUUUUUUCCCCUUUCCUGAAACUGGAAAAUAAUGCUACUUUGAAAGCAAUUAACUUUUUACAGACUCAUGCUUGGUAGGGGUCACAGUACCAGAGGAAAAGUGGCUAGCUUGGUCCAGGGUUGGGAACUUGCUGGGGGCUGUACAUUUGAAAACAGAUCUUGGCUCUCCAAACCUGUGGGAGCCAUUUUAAUGCAAGCUUUCAGAGGACAAAUGACUUGCCCUUAAGUUCCCUUCCAGCCCAACAAACACAGUAUUAUGCAAACGUUGAAGGCACCAAACCAGGAGUCUUAUGAUUAGAUAUUGCUUCUAGGGAGGCCACAAGAACCUCGAUAUGUAAUUUCCAUUUACAGCAAGGAGAUAAGAACAAAGAAAAUAGCUGAGUGUCUGAACUUACUUGUUUGGGGCAGUGGCACUGUUCAGUUUUAAGUAUAUAACAUCAUUAACUGCCUGCAGUUUUACUCUAAGAAGCUAAGCUGGCCUGCCUUGCACAGACUUUUCUCAACUUAGAAUGUGGUACGUUUCUCCUGAUUAAAUGAGCCUUUUUCCAAUUCAGUGUCAGAAA